UCCUUUGUGCAGUGGCAGUAUCAUAGGCAAUGAGGUCAAGCUGAGGCCUGAUUAUUACUAGUUGAAAACUUGUCCCUAUUCCUGCUCAUUUCACGUUCUUAAAGCAUGAAUGCAUUUGUCCUCUCAAAAGG
RNAcentral lists this small nuclear RNA (131 nucleotides) under Alligator mississippiensis (American alligator). RNAcentral describes it as "U4 spliceosomal RNA". It matches the Rfam family "U4 spliceosomal RNA". From Rfam's summary of the family: U4 small nuclear RNA (U4 snRNA) is a component of the major U2-dependent spliceosome. The structure of U4 snRNA from yeast and human has been reported. U4 snRNA presents a k-turn RNA motif in the 5p-SL related to recognition of Snu13 protein. Lineage: Eukaryota; Metazoa; Chordata; Crocodylia; Alligatoridae. The record is from Rfam by way of RNAcentral.